This 497-nucleotide ribosomal RNA is filed under the name uncultured bacterium. Its description in RNAcentral is "partial 16S ribosomal RNA". It matches the Rfam family "Bacterial small subunit ribosomal RNA", at positions 28 to 507 of the family's 1533-position model. The record is from RNAcentral.
GAUGAACGCUGGCGGCGUGCCUAAUACAUGCAAGUCGAGCGAACAGACGAGGAGCUUGCUCCUCUGACGUUAGCGGCGGACGGGUGAGUAACACGUGGAUAACCUACCUAUAAGACUGGGAUAACUUCGGGAAACCGGAGCUAAUACCGGAUAAUAUAUUGAACCGCAUGGUUCCAUAGUGAAAGACGGUUUUGCUGUCACUUAUAGAUGGAUCCGCGCCGCAUUAGCUAGUUGGUAAGGUAACGGCUUACCAAGGCAACGAUGCGUAGCCGACCCGAGAGGGUGAUCGGCCACCCUGGAACUGAGACACGGUCCAGACUCCUACGGGAGGCAGCAGUAGGGAAUCUUCCGCAAUGGGCGAAAGCCUGACGGAGCAACGCCGCGUGAGUGAUGAAGGUCUUCGGAUCGUAAAACUCUGUUAUUAGGGAAGAACAAAUGUGUAAGUAACUAUGCACGUCUUGACGGUACCUAAUCAGAAAGCCACGGCUAACUACGUG